GUAGGUGAACCUGCGGAAGGAUCAUUACCUUUCAGUACAGAAGCGUUGUGUUGGUUGAGUUGUGCCGGUUGAGUCUCGCUCACAAGUGGGGUUCCUGGUAGCAACUCCCUUCAUAAUUCUUCCUGUCUAUCAUCCUUGUCUUUUGCGUACUAUUGUUUCCUCGGCGGGCUUGCCCGCCGGCUGGACAACCUUAUAACCUAUUUAGUUUUCAAUCAGCGUCUGAAAUACUAUAAUAAUUACAACUUUCAACAACGGAUCUCUUGGUUCUG
Molecule: unclassified non-coding RNA, 269 nt
Filed under: rhizosphere metagenome
Description: partial ribosomal RNA internal transcribed spacer region
Source: RNAcentral